UACGAGAAAAACCGCUAAACAAACUUCGAGACGUGAUUGUAUUAGUCGUACACGAAAAGUACAGCUGUACACAAGUACGAUCUAUUACAACUUGACCCGUACUACUUGAACUUCGUUUGCUGUUACGGUGCUUAUGUUAAUAAGCUGCUCCUCUGGGACUUUGCCUACUAGGAGCACACGAGUCGUUCUUUCGAUCCCUCUUGUUAGAAGUAUCAGGGACUCCGUUCUGUGACCUUACGGUACACGAUGUGUACCGUGUUGACCGUCUUGCUCUUCGUACCGUUCUUCUUUCGUUACCUCGUGUUCCGACUUCCGAGUCGUUUAGUCAUACGUGAGCAGUCAGUGUUGGGUCUCUGGUGAGCUGCCCCUCUCAUAUGGUUACGCCUGUGUUCGUUGGAACGUGUCUGUGUAUUUUCGUAGUAGCUUAAGUCGGGGCCGCUGAUGCGAGCGACCUAGGUCUACGUUUUGGGUCUCGACCGGCGAAGAGGUAAUCCUACCCGUGAUUUUCUCGUGUUGCGUUUCACACACGUAUAGCGUUUACUUUACUCUUCCUUGUAACGUUGACUCUUGUAAGCUAAGUGUUUUUUUGACGACAUCCACAUGUGACAGUUUGGUUUAAACUGUUGUGGGCGUAGGUUACGUAGAAUAGCGCGACAGUUUUGGCGUGGUCCGCAGUCACCAAGACCAAGUGUGUUGCGUCUUCGUGGCUCGUCUGAGCGUGUUGUUUAUCAACCUUCUUCCGACCUCAACAGUAGAGGUAGGAACUGCGGGCAAUUUACGCGGUUUGGUCACCAGAACUGGUAGCGGCUGGUUAACAAGUGUUGUGGAUGAUCCCCGGUUUUCGCUCGUUCCCGUCUGCUGCGCGGUCUGCGUGGUAGUAAGCUUAACCUGUAUCUGCUUGUGUUACUUCGAUCAUGCGGACAAUUCUUCCUACCUUUUCGGUGAGACUAAAGUGGAUGCAGCCGCUGUUUCUGUGUGAGUCUGGUGGAUCACCCGGUCGAUUACUACGAAUUGUUACUCUAACCUCUGUGGCUCCCUGUAUAACAGAAACCAGUUCAGUUGUAGUGCCGACAUUGUUUCUAGUUUCGAUGGGUGUGGCCAAAGUGGUUUCUGGGUACCAGCUCGUUGACCAACCACGCGUGUGCCCGGCACGCAAGAUUUUCGGUAGUCUCUUACCUACGCUAGUUCUUGUGGGAUACUGGAUCGUUCCCAGAGUGUGGGACUGGGUGCCUAGUAACGUCAGUCGCCGUUACGGUAGUUCAGUGUUUAUACGUUAACAAGACUUAACCUGGUGCUCGAACCCAGCAACUAGCAGGCCGCUUAACCUGUCUACCUCAGUGUACGUGUGGCACGGUCGGGGCUGCUUGAUAUGGCCAACGAGGAGCUCGGGCUAAAACGCACAGUGCGGAAACGUCCCCUUUUAUGGUGUUCUUAGUACAGUUAUGUUUCCGUUCAGUAGCUUUUACUUCACUUCACGUUGUAGCGUUUGACAGCCUACCAAUGUUAGGGGCGGCAGUACGUUGUACCAACCACGACGAAGUUGACCCUGUACUACCGGGUGCACUAUUGGUAUUACCUGGGUUACCGUAUGGUCUGUCUCCUGUGUUGUGCCUUUUGAACAAAAUACAUGCGCCGACUGUUCUAUGUGCUGCGAGAAAAACUAACGUAACUUCUUAAGAAGUGGCUCACCGUGACGUCGUCUGUAAGUACCUGCUUCUUCAGUGGAGAUGACAGAUGGUGUUGUAAGUGUUCCGGUCUCUCACGGGACACACAGCAGGUGGAUGAUUCUGUUAAGUUUCCCUUAAGUGACCGUUUUGGUGAAUGGUCCCGUCGAUAGCGGUUGCUUUCCCCGAGCGAGGAGUAGCUCGACUAGGUGUACUUUCCGUUGUGGCGGGGAGACGUCGAUCUUCCUGAGCUGUGGUAACGGCUGCGAGACUUACUCUGCUACUUUCUGAAUCCCCAAAUCCACACCGCUUCUCACAAUCAAGAUUACAUAGAUCCUGCCGUGACCUAUUAUUACAUCUUGUUCACAGGGCACCAGCGAGUAAUACAUAGAUGAAAAUUGAUCAUAAAAAGAACAUUAGUCGUUGUAAAUGUAAAGG
This 2102-nucleotide ribosomal RNA is filed under the name Triticum aestivum (bread wheat). RNAcentral's name for it is "partial small subunit ribosomal RNA". The record is from RNAcentral. Lineage: Eukaryota; Viridiplantae; Streptophyta; Magnoliopsida; Poales; Poaceae.